CUAUCCUAUGGUUAAGGACUACAUCCUAGAAGAAUCAUCUUAAUAAAGUGCAUAUACAAAUUUCAACAGGAUCAAGUCUGAUCUCAGUCAUGAAAUGGAAUCUGAUAUGAUAGAUGUGUGCAAGGGUGUGACUAAAAUCUGUCAUUAUAUAAUUGCUCUGCCACCUGAUCUUC
Molecule: long non-coding RNA, 173 nt
Organism: Tupaia belangeri chinensis (Chinese tree shrew)
Lineage: Eukaryota; Metazoa; Chordata; Mammalia; Scandentia; Tupaiidae
Exons: 3
Source: RefSeq, a predicted model, not a curated record